UGGGGAAUAUUGCACAAUGGGCGCAAGCCUGAUGCAGCCAUGCCGCGUGUGUGAAGAAGGCCUUCGGGUUGUAAAGCACUUUCAGCGGGGAGGAAGGCGGUGAGGUUAAUAACCUCAUCGAUUGACGUUACCCGCAGAAGAAGCACCGGCUAACUCCGUGCCAGCAGCCGCGGUAAUACGGAGGGUGCAAGCGUUAAUCGGAAUUACUGGGCGUAAAGCGCACGCAGGCGGUCUGUCAAGUCGGAUGUGAAAUCCCCGGGCUCAACCUGGGAACUGCAUUCGAAACUGGCAGGCUAGAGUCUUGUAGAGGGGGGUAGAAUUCCAGGUGUAGCGGUGAAAUGCGUAGAGAUCUGGAGGAAUACCGGUGGCGAAGGCGGCCCCCUGGACAAAGCCUGACGCUCAGGUGCGAAAGCGUGGGGAGCAAACAGG
Molecule: ribosomal RNA, 429 nt
Filed under: Chloroflexota bacterium
Lineage: Bacteria; Bacillati; Chloroflexota
Description: Chloroflexi bacterium partial 16S ribosomal RNA
Rfam family: Bacterial small subunit ribosomal RNA
Source: RNAcentral